Molecule: non-coding RNA, 115 nt
Organism: Triticum aestivum (bread wheat)
Lineage: Eukaryota; Viridiplantae; Streptophyta; Magnoliopsida; Poales; Poaceae
Source: Rfam
AAUCUACUCCCUCCGUUCCAAAUUACUUGUCGCAGAAAUGGAUGUAUCUAGAAUUAAAAUACAUCUAGAUACAACCAUACAUGCGACAAGUAAUUCGGAACGGAGGGAGUAGUGC